Molecule: ribosomal RNA, 496 nt
Filed under: uncultured bacterium
Lineage: Bacteria
Description: partial 16S ribosomal RNA
Rfam family: Bacterial small subunit ribosomal RNA
Source: RNAcentral
AUGAACGCUGGCGGCGUGCCUAAUACCUGCAAGUCGAGCGAACAGAUGAGGAGCUUGCUCCCCUGACGUUAGCGGCGGACGGGUGAGUAACACGUGGAUAACCUACCUAUAAGACUGGGAUAACUUCGGGAAACCGGAGCUAAUACCGGAUAAUAUAUUGAACCGCAUGGUUCAAUAGUGAAAGACGGUUUUGCUGUCACUUAUAGAUGGAUCCGCGCCGCAUUAGCUAGUUGGUAAGGUAACGGCUUACCAAGGCAACGAUGCGUAGCCGACCUGAGAGGGUGAGCGGCCACACUGGACCUGAGACCCGGUCGAGACCCCUCGGGGAGGCAGAGGUAGGGAAUCUUCCGAAAGGGGCGAAAGCCGGACGGAGCAACGCCGGGGGAGGAAUGAAGGUCUUCGGAUCUAAAAACUCUUUUAUAAGGGAAGAAAAAAUGUGUAAGUAACUAUGCACGUCUGGAGGGGACCUAAGAAGAAAGCCACGGCUAACGCCGGG